GUAGUCCACCCCGUAAACGUUGGGAACUAGUUGUGGGGUCCAUUCCACGGAUUCCGUGACGCAGCUAACGCAUUAAGUUCCCCGCCUGGGGAGUACGGCCGCAAGGCUAAAACUUAAAGGAAUUGACGGGGACCCGCACAAGCGGCGGAGCAUGCGGAUUAAUUCGAUGCAACGCGAAGAACCUUACCAAGGCUUGACAUAUACGAGAACGGGCCAGAAACGGUCAACUCUUUGGACACUCGUAAACAGGUGGUGCAUGGUUGUCGUCAGCUCGUGUCGUGAGAUGUUGGGUUAAG
This 296-nucleotide ribosomal RNA is filed under the name uncultured bacterium. RNAcentral describes it as "partial 16S ribosomal RNA". It matches the Rfam family "Bacterial small subunit ribosomal RNA", at positions 790 to 1084 of the family's 1533-position model. The record is from RNAcentral.